GCCGCGUGAGCGAUGAAGGCCUUCGGGUCGUAAAGCUCUGUCCUAAGGGAAGAAUAAUGACGGUACCUUAGGAGGAAGCCCCGGCUAACUACGUGCCAGCAGCCGCGGUAAUACGUAGGGGGCAAGCGUUGUCCGGAUUUACUGGGCGUAAAGGGUGCGUAGGCGGCCUAGCAAGUCAGAAGUUAAAGCCCUCGGCUCAACCGAGGUAAGCUUUUGAAACUGCUAGGCUUGAGUGCAGGAGAGGAGAGUGGAAUUCCUAGUGUAGCGGUGAAAUGCGUAGAUAUUAGGGGGAACACCAGUGGCGAAGGCGACUCUCUGGACUG
RNAcentral lists this ribosomal RNA (323 nucleotides) under uncultured bacterium. RNAcentral's name for it is "bacterial SSU rRNA". It matches the Rfam family "Bacterial small subunit ribosomal RNA", at positions 396 to 736 of the family's 1533-position model. The record is from RNAcentral.